CGGUCCGGGAGGUGUGGUCAGGCCUGAGGCAGGAUGGAGGAGAGGGGAAUGAGCUCACAUUCAUCAUCACUGGGAAGGCUUUUGUUUCCAGAAAGGGUCUAAAGAGGAAACCACUCCACUUGUGGGGAUACCUGGUAAAAAGAGCUGGCCACAUCCGUGGCUCCAACUUCUGACUGAAGUGGAAUCCUGCAUUAACCUCGGCUGCCCAAGAAGAGGACAGGGAGACCUUCUCAUGGGCAGUACCUCAUCUGCCCAACGAGAAUCUGAGUCUCUGGGAUAUGAGCAAGGACUCACACUCAGGCCAAGUCAGGGAAUAGAGUCCAGAGUCAGCAUCUGGGCUCCUCCGGUCACACUUGGCAAAGCCACCCAGUUCUAGACCUCCAGAGAACCUUGACUAACACAAAAAAUUCUGCAAGUUUGGAGUGCCAUCCAGGGCUUCACACAAAGGGAUCUAGAACACAGUUAUGUACAACCUCUUAUAGCCUUCUGGAGCACUGAUGAAUCUCCAGGCCAGAUGUUCACUUCUUGAAGACUUUGCCCUCUUCCCCAGAAGAGCGGAAACCCGCCCCCUUGACUCAGCUGCAUAUAGUAAUUGUCCCACCUCCUUGUUCAUUUGCAUACAGCAGCCCCGCCUCCCUGUUGGAUUGUAUAUAAUAAACACGCUGGGCUUCUGGGGUGCUGCGGCAUCUCCGCCAUAGAGUCCACUUACUCCACCCCA
Mesocricetus auratus (golden hamster) is the source of this 718-nucleotide long non-coding RNA. RefSeq lists it as uncharacterized. Lineage: Eukaryota; Metazoa; Chordata; Mammalia; Rodentia; Cricetidae. The transcript has 3 exons. The record is from RefSeq and is a predicted model, not a curated record.